Long non-coding RNA from Triticum aestivum (bread wheat), 4682 nucleotides. RefSeq lists it as uncharacterized. The record is from RefSeq and is a predicted model, not a curated record. The transcript has 11 exons. Lineage: Eukaryota; Viridiplantae; Streptophyta; Magnoliopsida; Poales; Poaceae.
UGCUUCUGGUGGUACGUCGCCGGCAUUUUUGCACAAAAGUCCCUGUGCUUUUGAUAAUUAAACCUGCAGUCCUCGUCAUAAGUCAGCCCCGAACCGGUCAGAGGAGAGAAAAUAAGAAAGAAAAUCCCAGCGCCCCGCACGACCCUGCCUCUUCGAUCCCAUCUCCACCUCCAUCCCGCCGCCACCUCCUGCCCUGCGCCGCCCGCCCCACACCGCGUCAACCGGGACCGCGUCCCUCCCUAAACGGCGGCGAUGAUGGAGGGCGCCGCCCAACUCCUGACCGACGGAUUCGCCGGCUUCCCGCUCCUCAGGGCCAGCCCCUCCCCCGUGCCGGGCCUAGCAUCGGCUUGGAGGCCCCAAGGGGCUGCCGCCGGUGCGGGCGCGGCCGUGGGGCUGGGGCGGUGGAGGCUCCGUUGAGCCGCCGGCAGGCAGGGAGACGGGCUCCUGUUGAGGCGGCGGGGCUUGGUGCGGGCUGGUCUUCCGGAUUGAGCCCGUCCUCAUCUUCCUCUCGUUCGCUUGGCUCCUUCCCUCACAAUUGGUGCCCAGGCGUCGCCAUCACCAUGGAUGUGCUGAACAACGCGGACGCCUGCUUCUCCCCCGGGAGGGCCAUGUUGCCUCAGGUGCACCCGAGGGGAGGUGGAGGCGGGUGGAGCGCCUGCAUCAGCGUGUCGUGAAACCCCUUCAUGAUUUUGAACAUCUCAGGCAAAAGAAGAUGAUUGGGUUUCCGUGGUUAGGGCUGCUGUCGUCGUGCUUCAUCAGCAUCGUCAUUGCAGGAUUCAUUUUCUACAAGUACUGUCUUGGGAGUAAGGAAGCAGAGAUACCUCUUCAAUCCCAAAAUUUAUAUUGUUCCGGGAAUUACCAUGAGAAGCAAGCACUGAAUCUUUCUUGGCUAUCAAUAAAAUCUGUUGCGGCAGUACAUGGCUUCUGAAGUGACGAGUAACAGUAAUCAUGCCAGGUUAAUCCAAGCUCAGUCCGUUGGUAUGCCCCAUGGCUGGAUUUGCUUGCUUUGCUGUGUACUGGAGGUGCUCAAUGAAAUCCGUCAGUUUGCUCUUGGUCUUGGAGGAUUACGGAAGAGGAUAUGUAGAUCCUUCCAAUCCCUACUCCCUAGCAAUGUACUAGAAGUUAUAAAUGGUGGUCAGUAUCAGCCACUACAUGUCGGAGCUGUUGCGGGAGCACCAGAAGCUUGUCCUGUUUCACGCAGGUGCUACCAAUCUACAUCAAGCUGUUGGGCCACGAGAUAAUGCGGGUGUCCUCCUUGCUUAAGCAACAUCAUGGUGGGGACCUUCAGAGGUUGCCGUCAGUGGCGAGUCCAAACCAGAUGCAUCAUCAUCCGCCGCCACCAAUGCCUAAUUUCUGUGGAAAUGGUUUUGGCCCGUGGAACCACGGUGCGCAUCUAGAGAACAGAGAAUGAUACACAAGAUCCUCUCUUGGUGGUUUCAAGGUUGCAUUGUACCUUUUGCAUAACUUAAUGGUAGAAUAAAUCAGAUUGUCUUUGAGAAUAAUUUGAUGAACCACCAUGUCGCUCUUCAAUCUGGUUCCAUGGGAAAGUAAAUUACAUCGCUCGAGCGGGUCAACAUAGCCUACAGAUGCAGGAUACAUUUCUAGAGCUGAAAUUUCAGGGCAUCAAGAAGUAAUUAACUAUGCUUCAAGCAAGGAAGUUAUUUUGGUAUAACUUUUUUGAGGACUAAUUUACUAGCUUAAUGUUUGGAAGUUAAUGAGCUGCAGAUAUGGCAUGUGCGUACACGAAGACCUGAUGCAUCAAAGCUCGGUGUGGACACCUCUUCUUACAUGACAUGUUUGUCUACAACUUAUCCGAGCUUCAAUUUCCAGAAUAAAACACAUGUUUUUAUUUAUUAUGGUUUCUUCUCUUAGAUAACCAAACAUUUUGCAGAUGUUGAUUUUUCAUUUCCUUCCAACGCCAUUAAAUCCCAGUGUUUUCUAAUUUGAAAUGGCUCCCCUCAGUAUCACUCCCCUCAGUUUUUGGAGGAACAUGGUGCUAUUUGGUGUUUUUGGUUGUGGAAAAAAUGUCAUUAGUCAGGCACUUUCUAAGGUGGUCAGCUGACUGCUCUGUUGUCAUGGAUGUGGGAAAAUCUUUGUCUAUAUUUUUUUCUUGGUACCAUCUCUAUACCGUCUAUUGAGUUUGAAAAUGUCCGCGGUACUCCAAUUCUGAAGCUCUGGUUUAUGUGGGAUGUGGGGAAAGAGGAAAUGAGAUGUCUGAUGUUCUCAUAUAUGGAUUUUCCCCAAUUGACAAUGACAUUGCCUGACAUGAUGUGAACAAUGGAGCCGCUUAAAUUCCAUGGCAAGCUCAUCAUGGUCGCUUUCUUACUCCAGAUGGGUGGGAGGGGACAGGGAGGAAGAGGGAGCCGCCCAAGGACAUGAUGGUGCGGCCACUGGAAGCGCUAUUCUUCCUGCCCUCGUCCUCCGAGAACGACGGGGACAACGUAGGUGGCGUCGGCACUAUCCUAACAGGGGGGGGAGAAGAAUGGGAAACGGGAAGAAAGAUCGCGUUCAUGCGUGUUGUCCGUGUGUGUGUCGGUCAAGUUUUUAAUGGGCCAAGCCCAAAAAAUAGUGCAAAACAAAUUACAAAUGAAAUAUUAUAUUGCAAAAAAAUGUUCGUCACCAUAAAAAUGAUUCCAUUUUAAAAAAUAUUGUUGAAAUUAAUAAAAAAACACCUUCUCAAAACAAAAGAAAUAUUCAUGUUUUUCCGAACAACAAAAAAUAAAAUUGAUUGAAAGACUAUUUCAUACCAAAAAGAAAUACCUGGUGUAACCUUAUUUCUGACGUUUGCAAUAAUUGGGUUAAAAAUGUUUUUCACAAUUGCACGUGGAGCAAGUUAUAUUUAAUAUUUCGCCCGGUGCAACGCACGGGCAUUUGUACUAGUCUCUACCUACUAAUAAACCAGGGAUUGCUUCUGGUCGUACGUCGCCGGCCGUUUUGCAAAAAAGUCCCUCUGUUUCUGAGAAAUUAACGCGCAGUCCUACUUAAAGUGUGGAUAACGUUUCGUUUUUUGCAAAAAAAAAACACCGGAUCGCGCCGCCGCUCGCAGCUCCCUCCUGCGCGAGCUCCUCUCGCGCCCGCAAGAUGCCUCGCCGGCGACCCCACACCUCCGCCACGCCCCGCCGCCGGCGACCUUCCCCGCUGGAUCUCCGACCUCCAUGGUGUCGUUGGCCUUCAAUCUCGCUGGAUCCGGCCGCCUCCAUGCCAAAUCCACCGGAAAUGGAUCCACCCCGGCCAGAUCCGCCCGGAUCCAACCGGGCCCCGCCGUCGUCGCCACCGGAGCGCCGCCCCGAAAUUUUGGUUCAGACUGCUCUUCAAUCCUUGCUGAUUUGUGGUUUUGAGACCCACCCAAGCAGGGCUGCGCUCAGGAGAAGAACCUGCUGUUCCUGGAGGCCUGACAGACAGCCGAUCCCGCUAUUAUCACAAGUCCGCUUUGUGACGAGCUGGUCAACACGCGGGAGGAGACAUAUAUGAUUCCACUUGUGCAAAGUCUGCCUGUACUACUAUCCAUAUUGCCCCAUAGCAAUACAAUUUAUCUACUGCCUCAAUAGCUCACUUCUGCAAGUCAUAACGUUCCACUUUAAUACUUUAGAAUGUACAGCCGAGUUUAAUAAGUGGAUCAAAUGCAGUUGUCAUACACCUCCUUUGGUUGAAUCUGAAUUCUGUUAGAAACAUGACAAACCACCUAAAUAUGCCAUUGAUCUGUACAAAACUGAGAGAUUUUGUGUUUUCAUAGUUCUUUUGCGCUCUGACCGAAUUUGCUUAUCUGUCAUUUUUUUCAGAUGUUGCAACCUUGGGCGAUCGGUUCAUUGGAUUCUUGAAACCAGUGCCUUUUCUGAAGUAAGUCUGGCAUGCAAGGUACCCUCACGGUUUAUUUUCAAGAGAUGGCGUUGGGGUCUCGGGGACGUGCCGGACGGCGUCGCGUUCCUGCACCUUGGGGAUGGCUUUGGGUUGAAUUCCCCUCCAUGCAAUCUUGUGCUCCUUUGGGUGUUUCUAAUCUUUCUGCCUUCUAGCGUAAAUAGAGAGAUGUUCUCCCAUCGCUAUUGGCUGUCAAAUUAGCGAUGCAAUCCAUCCCUAUGUCGGCACAAUCAGCAGAACAAAGCAGCUACCAUGAUUUGCCCAUUGAUCUCUUGGAGUGAUUCAAACCUGCAAGCACCAGGGUAAUGACUCAUGCUCUACUACGUCAGAUUGAGUGACUCCUGCAUAUGAUGACUGAAGAAUUUUUCAUCAAUUUUCCAACCUGAAUUAGCUACAGAAGGGAAAAGAGGAGUCCAGGCUCUGAUGAACACAUCGUCUUUCCCAGAAACCACUUCAACUAGCCCAGGACUGUGUCUAUUAGUCCUCCAGUAUUUGUUGAGAUGAGAUAACACAUUGUAUGACAGGUAACAAGCAACUGAAGCAAGAAGAUUUUUUAAAUUUCUUGGAAAGUAUAACCACCUUAACCCAGGAUGCAUGAUGAAGGAUCCAAUAUGUCAGGACCAACGAGGGAAUUGCAGUAUGUCAGAACCAAUGAGAGAAUUGUAGAGCUUCAUACUAAGUUUAUUUUAGCUGCUUGCCCGCUUCAAGUGUCUAGAUUACAGGAAACAUGUUUCCUUAAGUGACAAACCUGGAUACCAAUUUAUUCAAACUAUUAUAUUUCUUAUAGAAGUAAUGCAAUAUAUUCUCUCUCUUCUGCCUAUUUGAAA